CCUACGGGAGGCUGCAGUAGGGAAUAUUGCUCAAUGGGGGAAACCCUGAAGCAGCAACGCCGCGUGGAGGAUGAAGGUUUUCGGAUUGUAAACUCCUUUUGUUAGAGAAGAUAAUGACGGUAUCUAACGAAUAAGCACUGGCCAACUCCGUGCCAGUAGCCGCGGUAAUACGGCGGGUGCAAGCGUUAGUCGGAAUCACUGGGCGUAAAGAGCGCGUAGGCGGGAUGGCAAGUCAGAUGUGAAAUCCUAUGGCUUAACCAUAGAACUGCAUUUGAAACUGGUAAUCUAGAGUAUGGGAGAGGUAAGUGGAAUUCUAGGUGUAGGAGUAAAAUCCGUAGAGAUCAAGAGGAAUACUCAUUGCGAAGGCGACCAGCUGGAACAUAACUGACGCUGAUGCGCGAAAGCGUGGGGAGCAAACAGGAUUAGAUACCCUUGUAGUC
RNAcentral lists this ribosomal RNA (440 nucleotides) under uncultured bacterium. Its description in RNAcentral is "partial 16S ribosomal RNA". It matches the Rfam family "Bacterial small subunit ribosomal RNA", at positions 338 to 795 of the family's 1533-position model. The record is from RNAcentral.